GGGUCAGUAGGUCGGUCGUGCCACUGGUAUGAACUGGUUUUACUGAUUCCUCCCUCUUGAAGAACUGUAAUGCCAUUAAUUUGGUGUCAUAUGGAACCAGGACUUUUACCUUGAAAAAAUUAGAGUGUUUAAAGCAGGCUUUAGCUUGAAUACAUUAGCAUGGAAUAAUGAAAUAGGACGUUUGAUCCUAUUUUGUUGGUUUCUAGGAUUGACGUA
RNAcentral lists this ribosomal RNA (216 nucleotides) under Campeiostachys nutans. RNAcentral describes it as "Elymus nutans partial small subunit ribosomal RNA". The stretch from base 38 to 216 matches the Rfam family "Eukaryotic small subunit ribosomal RNA", at positions 684 to 864 of the family's 1831-position model. Lineage: Eukaryota; Viridiplantae; Streptophyta; Magnoliopsida; Poales; Poaceae. The record is from RNAcentral.